AGCGAACGCUGGCGGCAGGCUUAACACAUGCAAGUCGAACGGACCCUUCGGGGUUAGUGGCGGACGGGUGAGUAACACGUGGGAACGUGCCCUUUGGUUCGGAACAACUUAGGGAAACUUGAGCUAAUACCGGAUGUGCCCUUCGGGGGAAAGAUUUAUCGCCAUUGGAGCGGCCCGCGUCUGAUUAGCUAGUUGGUGAGGUAAAGGCUCACCAAGGCAACGAUCAGUAGCUGGUCUGAGAGGAUGAUCAGCCACAUUGGGACUGAGACACGGCCCAAACUCCUACGGGAGGCAGCAGUGGGGAAUCUUGCGCAAUGGGCGAAAGCCUGACGCAGCCAUGCCGCGUGAAUGAUGAAGGUCUUAGGAUUGUAAAAUUCUUUCACCGGGGACGAUAAUGACGGUACCCGGAGAAGAAGCCCCGGCUAACUUCGUGCCAGCAGCCGCGGUAAUACGAAGGGGGCUAGCGUUGCUCGGAAUUACUGGGCGUAAAGGGAGCGUAGGCGGACAGUUAAGUUAGAGGUGAGAGCCCAGGGCUCAACCUUGGAAUUGCCUUUGAUACUGGCUGUCUUGAGUAUGGGAGAGG
Molecule: ribosomal RNA, 583 nt
Filed under: uncultured Caulobacter sp.
Lineage: Bacteria; Pseudomonadati; Pseudomonadota; Alphaproteobacteria; Caulobacterales; Caulobacteraceae
Description: bacterial SSU rRNA
Rfam family: Bacterial small subunit ribosomal RNA
Source: RNAcentral